Molecule: long non-coding RNA, 6348 nt
Filed under: Salvia miltiorrhiza (redroot sage)
Lineage: Eukaryota; Viridiplantae; Streptophyta; Magnoliopsida; Lamiales; Lamiaceae
Description: long non-coding RNA (SMIL_LNC012285)
Source: RNAcentral
UGUUGGGAUGAUUGUGUAAUAUACUGGAACUUGAAGGUCUUAAAGGUUAUUUUCUUAAGGACCUAUCAGCAAAUAUUGUAUGAGUUUGUUAGUUGAAUAUGGAGCUGUUGGAGCAGACUUCAAUCUCAGCCGUUGGAUGAGUUUCUUUCUGUUCAAGAUAGGUCUUCAUCAACAAAACAAAACAAGUGCAGCUGGGUUUCAGUUAGAGAGUGAUCAUCUUCGUUUUCCUUCUUCAUCUUUUACUGAGUGGAAAAAGUAAAGUGGAGAGGUGUGUGUUUUCAUGAGAGAUUGAGAUGUGUUCUGAUCUGCUUGUGUGCUGUAACUUCACUCUUGAUUCUUGGCAAUAAAAUCUUCGAUUUACUUCCCGUGGAUGUAGGAUAAGAGAUUAUCCGAACCACGUAAAUUCCCAUUGUGUUGCUGUUAUAUGUUUUGAUUCAUAUUGCUUGAUAGAGUUGAUUGUUGUUGCGUUGGUGGUGGAAGAUACCAGAUUGAGUGCAAUUGGUUUUCUUUCAAUCUACAAUUGGCGCCGUCUGUGGGAACCUCCAACCCGCGGUGCGAUCUUUGCGAUCUGAUCUUGUCGGCGAUUACUGUGAUUACAAAUCUUGUAAUUGCUUCGAUCGGCGAUGGCGACAACAAGGUAUGAAGCGGAGAAGUUCAAUGGCAAGAACGAUUUUGCCAUAUGGCAAAUAAAGAUGCGAGCCUUGCUGGUGCAGCAGGGGCUAGCUGGAUUUCUGAGGGAAGAAUCAAAGGAUGCGAAGGCAACCGAUGAUAAAGCCGGAGUGGUCGAUGCCAAGAAUGCCGAAUUGCAGGAGAAAGCUCAUAGUGCAAUUAUCUUGAACUUAAGUGAUAAAGUUCUAAGAGAAGUUGCCAAGGAGAAGACUGCAGCAGCUGUGUGGAGCAAGCUUGAAAGUCUGUACAUGGAGAAAUCUCUGGCAAAUCGGCUGUAUUCGAAGCAAAGACUUUACUCAUUUAAGAUUGUGGAUGGCAAGAACAUACUUGAGCAGCUGGAUGAAUUUAAUAAAGCCAUAGACGAUUUGGAGAAUAUAGAGGUGAUUCUUGGUGAAGAAGACAAAGCAAUUGUACUGUUGAAUGCACUGCCUAAGUCAUAUGAACACCUGAAAGAUGCAAUGCUGUAUGGCCGUGAUAAAUCCAUCACACUGGAAGAGGUGGAGUCAGCCAUCAAAGCAAAGGAACUCCAGAAAAUGUCAGGAUCAAAGACUGAGACACCAGCUGAAGGAUUGAAUGUAAAAGCCAAGUCCAAGAAAGAAAAGAAGUUUAAGAAACCUCAGGAAUCUGAUAAGAAGUUUCAAAAGAAACCGAAGAAAGAGGAUGGUGAUAAGGAAGAAAGAAAAUGUUUCUUUUGCAAGAAACCUGGACACAUCCUGAAGAACUGCUAUUCUUGGAAAAAGAAACAAGCAGAACAGCCCAAGGAAUCAAAUUCUGCAGACAUCACUGAAGGAUGUGAAAGUGCAGAAAUGCUGAACAUUGUGAAUCACAGCAUUGGUGAUGAUUGGAUAAUGGACAGUGGGUGCACAUUCCAUAUGUGUCAUGUAAAAGAUUGGUUUACAGACAUUGAAUUUGGGGUGAAAGGAUCUGUGAUUCUGGGAAACAAUGAAUCAUGCCAAGUGAAAGGCAUAGGAUCUGUCACCAUUAAGAAUCAUAUUGGGCAGGUGAAAGUGCUUCAAGAAGUAAGAUUCAUUCCCAAGUUGAAAAGAAAUUUAAUUUCACUUGGGAUGUUGGAAAAGAAAGGGUACAGUUUCAUGUCAGAAGCAGGAUUUCUAUCUGUGAAGAAGGGUGACACUGUGGUGCUAAAGGGGGCAAGAAAAAACAGCCUAUACCACCUUUAUAGGCACCACCAUUGUUGGAGAAACAGAGAUCAACACUUCGAGUGAAACUGAGCUGUGGCACAGAAGAUUGGGGCCAUGUUGGGAGAAAAAGGAUAAAGCAACUUCAGAAACAAGUCAUUCUCCACAUAACAACUCCUGUCAAGCUAAAAGUUUGUGAAGACUGUAUAUUGGGAAAGAGCAGAAAAGCAUCAUUCCCAACUAGGAAAAAUGGUUUCAACAAGGCCAUUGGAAUACAUUCACUGUGAUCUUUGGGGACCAGCAAAAGUCAGCACUAUGAAUGGAGGAAGGUACUAUUUCUCCCUUAUAGAUGAUUAUAGUAGAAAAUUAUGGGUUCAUAUCAUCAAGCAGAAAUCAGACACUUUUUCUAAAUUUGAACAAUGGUGUGCUGAAGUAGAAAUAGAAUACUGAUCUUAAGGUUAGAUGUAUAAGAACUGAUAAUGGAUUAGAAUUUCUAUCUGAUGAGUUUGAAAGCUACUGUAAGUCUAAGGGGAUUAAAAGGCAUAAAACUGUACCUGCAAAUCCUCAACAAAAUGGGGUUAUAGAAAGGAUGAAUAGGACUAUAUUGGAAAGGGUAAGAUGCAUGCUCACUAGCUCUGGAUUACCUGUGAGGUUUUGGGGGAAGCUGUUAAUACUGCAUGCUAUCUUAUUAAUAAAUGUCCCUCAUCUGCUNAACCUGGACAUAUCAUUAAGAACUGCUACUCUUGGAAAAAGAAACAAGCAGAACAACCCAAGGAGUCAAAUUCUGCAGACAUCACUGAAGGAUGUGAAAGUGCAGAAAUGCUGAACAUUGUGAAUCAUAGCAUUGGUGAUGAUUGGAUAAUGGACAGUGGGUGCACAUUCCAUAUGUGCCAUGUAAAAGAUUGGUUUACAGACAUUGAAUUUGGGGUGAAGGGAUCUGUUAUUUUGGGGAACAAUGAGUCAUGCCAGGUGAAAGGAAUUGGUUCUGUAAAGAUAAAGAACCAUGCUGGACAGAUUAAGAUCCUACCAGAAGUCAGGUUCAUUCCCAAAUUGAAGAGGAACUUAAUAUCACUAGGAAUGCUAGAAAAGAAAGGAUAUAGCUUCAUGUCUGAUGCUGGUUUUCUUCAUGUGAAGAAAGGUGAUACUGUGGUAUUGAAGGGGGCAAGAAAAAACAGCCUAUACCACCUUAUUGGCACCACCAUUGUUGGAGAAACAGAGAUCAACACUUCAAGUGAAACUGAGCUGUGGCACAGAAGAUUGGGUCAUGUUGGUGAAAAAGGAAUAAAGCAACUUCAGAAACAAGACAUUCUCCACAUAACAACUCCUGUCAAACUCAAAGUUUGUGAAGACUGUAUAUUGGGAAAAAGCAGGAAAGCAUCAUUCCCAACUGGGCCAUUGGAAUAUAUUCACUGUGAUCUAUGGGGACCAGCAAAAGUCAGCACGAUGAAUGGAGGAAGGUACUAUUUCUCCCUUAUAGAUGAUUAUAGUAGAAAAUUAUGGGUUCACAUCAUCAAGCAGAAAUCAGACACUUUUUCUAAGUUUGAACAAUGGUGUGCUGAAGUAGAAAAUGAAACUGAUCUUAAGGUUAGAUGUAUAAGAACUGAUAAUGGAUUAGAAUUUCUAUCUGAUGAGUUUGAAAGCUACUGUAAGUCUAAGGGGAUUAAAAGGCAUAAAACUGUACCUGCAAAUCCUCAACAAAAUGGGGUUAUAGAAAGGAUGAAUAGGACUAUAUUGGAAAGGGUAAGAUGCAUGCUCACUAGCUCUGGAUUACCUGUGAGGUUUUGGGGGGAAGCUGUUAAUACUGCAUGCUAUCUUAUUAAUAAAUGUCCCUCAUCUGCUCUGAAUUAUAAAGUGCCUAAUGAUCUGUGGUCUGGAAAGAAAUCUGAAUAUUCCCAUUUGAGAAUAUUUGGAUGCCAAGCUUUUGCUCAUAUUAGGCAAGAUAAACUACAGCCUAGAGCAUUGAGAUGUGUUAUGCUUGGGUAUCCAAAGGGAGUUAAAGGCUACAAGUUAUGGUGUCUUGAGCCUGCAAAUCAGAAAUGCUUGAUAAGCAGAGAUGUGACAUUUAUAGAGGAGAAAAUGCCUUUCUUAGAAAAGGAAGAUGCUGAAGUUGUAAGAAAAGAAGCAGCUCACUUCGAGGUGGAGUUUACUCAGGAGGAGUUUGCUCAAAAUCAGCAACAUGAUGGUGUGGAAAUAGAAUCAGAUGCAGAUGAAGCAUUAUCAGAUGAAGGUGAACAAGAAACUGAUCUGGCAGACUAUCAAUUAGCAAGAGAUAGAGUAAGAAGAGAAGUUCAUCCACCAAACAGAUUUGGACAUGCAGAUUUGGUUUCAUAUGCUCUCAACAUAGCAGAAGAGAUCAACUAUGAUGAGCCUAAAAACUAUAAAGAAGCAGUUCAUUGUAAGGAAAAGGAUCAGUGGAUAAAAGCAAUGCAUGAAGAAUUGGAAUCUAUGUAUAAGAACAAGACAUGGAUACUGGUGGACAAGCCUAAGAAACAAAAAUGCAUUGGAUGUAAAUGGAUUUACAAAAAGAAGGUGGAGCUAAUUGAUGGUGUUGAGAAACUAAGGUACAAAGCUAGAUUGGUGGCAAAGGGAUUUACACAAAAGGAAGGUGUAGAUUUCAAUGAGGUUUUCUCCCCUGUGGUCAAACAUACAUCUAUCAGAUUACUGCUAGCUAUAGUUGCUCAAAAUGGUUUGGAAUUGGAGCAGUUGGAUGUUAAAACUGCCUUCCUAAAUGGAGACUUGGAAGAGAAUAUAUACAUGAUCCAACCAGAGGGUUUUAUAGCUGAGGGUAAUGAGAACAAGGUGUGUUUGCUUAAGAGAUCAAUUUAUGGCCUGAAGCAAAGCUCGAGGCAAUGGUACCUCAAGUUUGAUGAACACAUGAAGGCUAUAGGGUUUAUGAGAUCUGACUAUGACAGCUGCGUAUACAUCAAGAACACAACUGAACAUGGAAUGACAUAUCUUCUACUAUAUGUAGAUGAUAUGUUAGUGGCAGGGAGCAGCAGAGAUGAAUAAAAAAGGUGAAGCAGGAUCUAAAAGCUAGGUUUGAAAUGAAGGAUCUGGGGCAGGCCAGGAGAAUUUUGGGUAUGGAUAUCUUAAGAAAUAGAAAGGCUGGUACACUGUGGUUGUUCCAAGAAGAUUACAUAAGGAAGAUACUCAGGAAAUUUCAGAUGGCAGAAUCCAGACAAGUGCAGGUUCCUCUGGGGCAACAUUUCAAACUCAGUUCAGAUCAAAGGCCAAUGACUGAUGAAGAAAAAAGGUACAUGAGGAAUAUACCCUAUUCUAAUAUUGUUGGAAGUAUUAUGUAUUGCAUGAUAUGCACUAGACCAGAUUUAUCUCAUGCUAUAAGUGUCACAAGUAGAUACAUGAGUGAUCCAGGAAAAGGUCAUUGGGAAGCUUUGAAGUGGAUACUGAGGUAUCUUAAAGGAGCAUCAUCUGUUGGUAUUAUGUUUAGGAAACAUAGUCCUGUAAAAGAAGAUAUAUUAGAGGGGUAUGUAGAUUCAGAUUACGCAGGUAAUGUGGAUACAAGAAAGUCACAAACAGGUUACAUUUUUACACUCUAUGGAUCAGCUAUUAGCUGGAAAUCUGUGCUCCAACCUGUAGUAUCUCUUUCAACUACAGAAGCUGAAUAUAUGGCAUUAACUGAGGCUGUGAAAGAAGCAUUGUGGUUAAAGGGGAUAUUAUCUGAGUUUGGAAUCAAACAAAGGUGUGUGAAGAUAAACUGUGACAGUCAAAGUGCAAUACACCUUACUAAGCAUCAAGUGUUUCAUGAAAGGAGCAAACACAUUGAAGUUAAGUACCACUUUUAUCAGAGAUAUUGUGAAUAAGGGGAAGGUUAAAGUUGUUAAGGUUGGUACUGAGGAUAAUGCCUCAGAUAUGCUAACAAAAGCUUUAACUGUUGAUAAGUUCAAGCAUUGCUUGAAACUUGUAAAUGUGCUGCUUAGGCGGCAGUGAGUUCUUUAAACAUGAUGAUAGCCCUGUACUGGGGCAGAUUGGAAGGAAGUUGAAGCUUUUAUUACACAACCAAGGUGGAGAGUGUUGGGAUGAUUGUGUAAUAUACUGGAACUUGAAGGUCUUAAAGGUUAUUUUCUUAAGGACCUAUCAGCAAUAUUGUAUGAGUUUGUUAGUUGAAUAUGGAGCUGUUGGAGCAGACUUCAAUCUCAGCCGUUGGAUGAGUUUCUUUCUGUUCAAGAUAGGUCUUCAUCAACAAAACAGAACAAGUGCAGCUGGGUUUCAGUUAGAGAGUGAUCAUCUUCGUUUUCCUUCUUCAUCUUUUACUGAGUGGAAAAAGUAAAGUGGAGAGGUGUGUGUUUUCAUGAGAGAUUGAGAUGUGUUCUGAUCUGCUUGUGUGCUGUAACUUCACUCUUGAUUCUUGGCAAUAAAAUCUUCGAUUUACUUCCCGUGGAUGUAGGAUAAGAGAUUAUCCGAACCACGUAAAUUCCCAUUGUGUUGCUGUUAUAUGUUUUGAUUCAUAUUGCUUGAUAGAGUUGAUUGUUGUUGCGUUGGUGGUGGAAGAUACCAGAUUGAGUGCAAUUGGUUUUCUUUCAAU